Molecule: long non-coding RNA, 252 nt
Filed under: Elaeis guineensis (African oil palm)
Lineage: Eukaryota; Viridiplantae; Streptophyta; Magnoliopsida; Arecales; Arecaceae
Description: long non-coding RNA (EGUI_LNC070984)
Source: RNAcentral
CUCACCAUAAGCAGGGGGAGCAUGGUGGAGCUCUUCGAUCUGUUGGUUCAUCUCCUGGAGUCUUCGAUCCAGGAGGUCCUCUCGACUGUGAGUCUCGAGGGUCUUCUGGCAGAGUGUGGGUAGGAAUCCUCCAGGAGUGGAAUCGUGACCAGACUGGGGGCUCUCCACCCUCGAAUUCUCCUUUUCGGGGAAGACAAGGCGACUGGCCCAAGUGGCCCACCCUACUGCCAGAUUUUAGAACUCCAGCGAUGC